CCCUUAGAUGUUCUGGGCUGCACGCGCGCUACACUGAUGCGCUCAACGAGUUUUAACCUUGCCUGGAAAGGUUGGGUAAUCUUUUUAAAAUGCAUCGUGAUGGGGAUAGAUUAUUGCAAUUAUUAAUCUUCAACGAGGAAUUCCUAGUAAGCGCGAGUCAUCAGCUCGUGCCGAUUACGUCCCUGCCCUUUGUACACACCGCCCGUCGCUCCUACCGAUUGAGUGCUCAGGUGAAUAAUUCGGACUGCAGCAAUGUUUGGAUCCCGAACGUUGCAGCGGAAAGUUUAGUGAACCUUAUCACUUAGAGGAAGGAGAAGUCGUAACA
Molecule: ribosomal RNA, 325 nt
Filed under: uncultured eukaryote
Lineage: Eukaryota
Description: partial 18S ribosomal RNA
Rfam family: Eukaryotic small subunit ribosomal RNA
Source: RNAcentral